This 87-nucleotide transfer RNA is filed under the name Holophaga sp. RNAcentral describes it as "tRNA-Leu". It matches the Rfam family "tRNA". Rfam says of the family: Transfer RNA (tRNA) molecules are approximately 80 nucleotides in length. Their secondary structure includes four short double-helical elements and three loops (D, anti-codon, and T loops). The record is from RNAcentral. Lineage: Bacteria; Pseudomonadati; Acidobacteriota; Holophagae; Holophagales; Holophagaceae. RNAcentral also lists the same sequence under 3 other names.
GCGGAUAUGGCGGAAUUGGUAGACGCGCUAGCUUCAGGUGCUAGUGACUGCAAGGUCGUGGGGGUUCGAGUCCCUUUAUCCGCACCA